RNAcentral lists this ribosomal RNA (406 nucleotides) under uncultured bacterium. RNAcentral's name for it is "bacterial SSU rRNA". It matches the Rfam family "Bacterial small subunit ribosomal RNA", at positions 71 to 507 of the family's 1533-position model. The record is from RNAcentral.
GAUUGUAGCUUGCUAUAAUUAAUGAGAGUAGCGCACUGGUGAGUAACACGUGGGAACAUACCUUGAAGUGGGGGACAACAGUUGGAAACGACUGCUAAUACCGCAUAAUCCCUGAGGGGAAAGAUUUAUUGCUUUAAGAUUGGCCCGCGGAAGAUUAGGUAGUUGGUGGGGUAAAGGCCUACCAAGCCGACGAUCUAUAGCUGGUCUGAGAGGACGAACAGCCACAUUGGAACUGAGACACGGUCCAGACUCCUACGGGAGGCAGCAGUGAGGAAUAUUGGGCAAUGGAGGCAACUCUGACCCAGCCAUGCCGCGUGAGUGAUGUAAGGUUUUCGAAUUGUAAAAGCUCUUUCGGAUGUGAAGAUGAUGACGGUAGCAUACUAAAGAAGCCCCGGCAAACUUCGUG